This 270-nucleotide long non-coding RNA is filed under the name Mus pahari (shrew mouse). Its description in RNAcentral is "predicted gene 28638 (MGP_PahariEiJ_G0005463.1)". The record is from RNAcentral. Lineage: Eukaryota; Metazoa; Chordata; Mammalia; Rodentia; Muridae.
AUUUGAGGUCCACCGUCACCCCUUCCUGGGUUGCUAUCUAUUGCAAGGCCAACCAAUAUCCACGCCCUCGGGGAGAACCCCUCUGCCAGGGUUUGGAAAGAGUUUGUGGUUUCCUGGAAAGGAAUUGUUUUCACUGAAGAGUAGAUUAAAAGCCAACAUCUGUUCUGCAAGGUGAGAACCUACACUCUUAAACAUGUUAGGCUUUGCCACAGAAAUGAUUGUAACGCACACCUUGGGACCUAGCAACUUUCUCUUUUCUUUUCUUUUCUU